This 1020-nucleotide long non-coding RNA is filed under the name Rattus norvegicus (Norway rat). Its description in RNAcentral is "long non-coding RNA NONRATT001257". Lineage: Eukaryota; Metazoa; Chordata; Mammalia; Rodentia; Muridae. The record is from RNAcentral.
UCAAUCACCACCUCAUGAGUCUCAUUCAAGGGGUCCCGGUAGAGGUCCAACUCACAUGAGUCCCAGGAAAGAUUAUGAACUUUGGACUUUUAAGCAGUAUUUAGAUCGAAAGACUGUGGGGACUUUUUAAGUCAGAUUAAAUACAUUUUGCAGUAUGAUUUGGCUACCAACCUGUGUGGGAGAGCCAGGGCGUAGAAUGUGGUGGUUUGAAUGAGAAUGGCCCUCAUAGGUUCAUAUGUCUACAUGCUUGGUGUCCAGUUGGUUGAACUGUUAAGGAAGGUUUAAGAGUGGCAUUGUCACUGGGGUGGGCUUAGAGGUCUCAAAAGUUUCUUGACAUCCAGUGCUCUCCUUGCUUCCUGUUCAAAUGUGAGUUCUCAGUUGCUCUUGUCAUUGUGCCUUUACUGUUCCACCAUAAUGCAUUUUAAUCCUCUAGAAACUUAAGUCCAAAUAAAUGAUAUUUAAAAAAAAAAAAUAAGAUGCCUUGCAGCCUGGUGCCAUGCAACCCAGGCAGGAAGAAACCCUGAGAUGACCUCACUCCUGAGUCAUGUCGAUCGAACAGACAGACCAUGGUCAAGUCAAACCCUGCCCAGUGUCACAAAGCACAAGGGGGCAUAGCACUCCUGAGACAACCCCAGAUACCCAGAGGGCCUGGGUGUCACUAAGAUGAAGAGGUAGGCCUGCAGAUCCAAGGCUGCAGGAUCAAAGUUGCCUGACACAGGGCAACAAGAGGAUCUCUGAGAAGAGUCCUGGUGAGGAUCCAGGGUUGAUGGUGUAGCAAAAGCCAGAGGCCCGGAACCAGACCAAGGACUCAUUGCAAUGAACUUUUGCAAGUGAAGAUGUGUAGUCAAAAGGGUGUGCUGUAGGACACACUGGGACACACUACAGCUUCCAUGAUGAGAUUUUUACUUUUUUUUUUCCUUUUGUUGGGGGAGACUGCAAGGGUGGGACAGGAAGAUGAGUGGGAUUGGGAUGUAUGAUGUGAAAUUUACAAAGAAUCAAUAAAAAGUUAAAAAAAAAUAA